GUGAAACCGCGAAUGGCUCAUUAAAUCACACCUAAUCUACUGGAUACUAGUCAGUUACUUGGAUACCUGAGGUAAUUCUUCAGCUAAUACAUGCACACAAGCCUCGAACUUACGUGAGAGGCGCUUUUAUUAGAUCAAAACCAGUCGCUUUCGAGCGUCCCUUUGGUGACUCUGAAUAACUUUGGGCUGAUCGCAUGGCCUCGAGCCGGCGACAUAUCCUUCGAAGGUGUGCCCUAUCAACUGUCGACUGUGGCAUAGACGCCCACAGUGGUUUUGACGGGUAACGGGGAAUCAGGGUUCGAUUCCGGAGAGGGAGCCUUAAAAACGGCUACCACAUCCAAGGAAGGCAGCAGGCACGCAAAUUACCCAAUGACCGAAGGUCGAGGUAGUGACGAAAAAUAACGAUACAGGACUCAUCCGAGGCCCUGUAAUCGGAAUGAAUUAACUUUAAAACCGUACAUGAGGAUCUAUUGGAGGGCAAGUCUGGUGCCAGCAGCCGCGGUAAUUCCAGCUCCAAUAGCGUAUAUUAAAGUUGUUGCGGUUAAAAAGCUCGUAGUUGGAUCUCGGCGGGUAGAAGGCGGUACACUGCUAAGUGUUACUGCCUUAUUACCCGUAGUUUUUGCUAGAGGUUUCAGGGUGCUCUUAAUCGAGUGUCCUGGGAUGCUAGCAGGUUUACUUUGAAAAAAUUAGAGUGCUCAAAGCAGGCUACUACGCUUGAAUAUUCGUGCAUGGAAUAAUAGAAUAGGAAGUCGUUUCUAUUUUGUUGGUUUUCGGAAAUCGACUUAAUGAUUAAUAGGGACAGUCGGGGGCAUUUGUAUUCAAACGACAGAGGUGAAAUUCUUGGACCGUUUGAAGACAAACUACUGCGAAAGCAUUUGCCAAGAAUGUUUUCAUUAAUCAAGAACGAAAG
Molecule: ribosomal RNA, 910 nt
Filed under: Lucicutia flavicornis
Lineage: Eukaryota; Metazoa; Arthropoda; Copepoda; Calanoida; Lucicutiidae
Description: SSU rRNA
Rfam family: Eukaryotic small subunit ribosomal RNA
Source: RNAcentral